RNAcentral lists this ribosomal RNA (543 nucleotides) under Streptococcus macedonicus. RNAcentral's name for it is "bacterial SSU rRNA". It matches the Rfam family "Bacterial small subunit ribosomal RNA", at positions 213 to 748 of the family's 1533-position model. Lineage: Bacteria; Bacillati; Bacillota; Bacilli; Lactobacillales; Streptococcaceae. The record is from RNAcentral.
CAUCACUAGUAGAUGGACCUGCGUUGUAUUAGCUAGUUGGUGGGGUAACGGCCUACCAAGGCGACGAUACAUAGCCGACCUGAGAGGGUGAUCGGCCACACUGGGACUGAGACACGGCCCAGACUCCUACGGGAGGCAGCAGUAGGGAAUCUUCGGCAAUGGGGGCAACCCUGACCGAGCAACGCCGCGUGAGUGAAGAAGGUUUUCGGAUCGUAAAGCUCUGUUGUAAGAGAAGAACGUGUGUGAGAGUGGAAAGUUCACACAGUGACGGUAACUUACCAGAAAGGGACGGCUAACUACGUGCCAGCAGCCGCGGUAAUACGUAGGUCCCGAGCGUUGUCCGGAUUUAUUGGGCGUAAAGCGAGCGCAGGCGGUUUAAUAAGUCUGAAGUUAAAGGCAGUGGCUUAACCAUUGUUCGCUUUGGAAACUGUUAAACUUGAGUGCAGAAGGGGAGAGUGGAAUUCCAUGUGUAGCGGUGAAAUGCGUAGAUAUAUGGAGGAACACCGGUGGCGAAAGCGGCUCUCUGGUCUGUAACUGACGCUG